RNAcentral lists this ribosomal RNA (367 nucleotides) under uncultured organism. Its description in RNAcentral is "bacterial LSU rRNA". It matches the Rfam family "Bacterial large subunit ribosomal RNA", at positions 2099 to 2465 of the family's 2925-position model. The record is from RNAcentral.
CUUUACUAUAGCCUGGAAUUGUGUUCGGGCUUCGCUUACGCAGGAUAGGUGGGAGGCUAUGAAGUUCUGCUUGUGGGCAGAAUCGAGCCAACGGUGAGAUACCACUUUAGCGAGGCUAGAAUUCUAACCCUUGCCCAUGAUCUGGGAAGGAGACAGUUUCAGGGGGGUAGUUUGACUGGGGCGGUCGCCUCCUAAAAGGUAACGGAGGCGCGCAAAGGUCCCCUCAGUCUGGACGGAAAUCAGACAACGAGUGUAAAGGCAAAAGGGGGCUUGACUGCAAGACCUACAAGUCGAGCAGGGUGGAAACACGGUCUUAGUGAUCCGACGGUGCCGCAUGGAAGGGCCGUCGCUCAACGGAUAAAAGUUA